UUUAAUUUAAUUUAAUUUAAUAGAAAUAAAAAUAAAAAUAAUAAUAAAAUAGGGUAAAAUUAUUUUUGGGAUUUAAUUGAAAUUGAUUUUGGGGAAAGGGGGUGAAAAUUUGAAUUCUGGGGGUGUUUUUGAAAAGAAAAUCGAAAAUUGGAGAUCAAAACGCAAUUUAGAAAAAUAGUGCUAUGUCAGCAGCCACGUCAGCAGCCCGGUCAGCAACCCCGGAGGACACACCGUGUGGCAGGGUGCUGACGCGCGAAGCCACGUGGGACGGAGACACGUGGGUGAUCCGUGUGCGCGCGAUCAGACGGCCCAGAUUCGUUCCCGCGCGCACGGACGGUACAGAUCAAAAGCGCGCAUGGACGGCCCAGAUCUCACGCGUGCGAACGGCCCAUAUUUGAUCAUGAUGGACGGCUCAGAUUAAAAGGGGAAGGUUAUAAAUAAUCGCAUCCACAUCCAACCCCAAACCCUAGCCGCCAGAAUCCUCGCUGGAGAAGACGACCCAGCCACUGGAGAAAUCGGCCGCCGCCAUCCGCUGCCGAACCAGAGGAUUUUUCAGCCGCCAAACGAGGUAAAAUUUCUCCCAUUGGUUUGUUUUUCGAUGCUGAACUUCCAUGUGGCCAAAUCGGAGCCAAACCACCUGCCAAUUGGCCGAAAAAUACCGCCGAAGUCCAGCGGCGCCGUUGCGGGUUUCUUCGAUUUUUGCCUCCGAUGAGGCCCUUCCCGUUUCCCGUUCGAUGUAAUUUUUAUACCACUGUGACCACCGUCCUUUUCUUUACGGGUUGACCGGAGUAAAACACCAAAUUGCAACUCGUGCCGGAGGAGCCGCCGCACCCGAGAGUUUCGCCGCCGGUAAGUCUCGAUUUUCUAGAAUUUUUUGGCCCACCGAGGGCCCUAGGGGUGUUUUAUCACAGGAACCAAUGCAAGUUUGGUCGAAAACGGCCAACCCAAGGCAGAUCACCGCCGUGGGCGGCGACGACGUCACCGGAGCACGGCGGAGACGCCGUGCCGGAAUUCUGAAAUUGGUCGAAAGGGCCCUGGGUUUGAUUUGGAGUUUUUUGGGGACAUGUGCAAGUACCGGAAGUGUGUUUCAAUUUCCGAGGAAAAAUUCAGGGAAUCUAGGGACUGCCCGUAAGCGCAGUGAGAACCCGAUUUCAGACUCCAAAACAAGUAAGGAUCUCUCACCCUAUUUCCUAUUACGGCAUUAAAGCUUAAUAAAUGAUAAAACAGUAUUUAUGAAUUAAUAUAUAUGUAUAAUUAAUUAAGGUGUCUAAUGGGGCAC
Molecule: long non-coding RNA, 1279 nt
Filed under: Carica papaya (papaya)
Lineage: Eukaryota; Viridiplantae; Streptophyta; Magnoliopsida; Brassicales; Caricaceae
Description: long non-coding RNA (CPAP_LNC013649)
Source: RNAcentral